This 492-nucleotide ribosomal RNA is filed under the name uncultured bacterium. Its description in RNAcentral is "partial 16S ribosomal RNA". It matches the Rfam family "Bacterial small subunit ribosomal RNA", at positions 29 to 507 of the family's 1533-position model. The record is from RNAcentral.
AGUGAACGCUGGCGGUAGGCCUAACACAUGCAAGUCGAACGGCAGCACAGUAAGAGCUUGCUCUUAUGGGUGGCGAGUGGCGGACGGGAGAGGAAUACAUCGGAAUCGACUUUUUCGUGGGGGAUAACGUAGGGAAACUUACGCUCAUACCGCAUACGACCUACGGGUGAAAGCAGGGGAUCUUCGGACCUUGCGCGAUUGAAUGCGCCGAUGUCGGAUUAGCUAGUUGGCGGGGUAAAGGCCCACCAAGGCGACGAUCCGUAGCUGGUCUGAGAGGAUGAUCAGCCACACUGGAACGGAGACACGGUCCAGACUCCUACGGGAGGCAGCAGUGGGGAAUAUUGGACAAUGGGCGCAAGCCUGAUCCAGCCAUACCGCGUGGGUGAAGAAGGCCUUCGGGUUGUAAAGCCCUUUUGUUGGGAAAGAAAAGCAGCAGGUUAAUACCCCGCUGUUCUGACGGUACCCAAAGAAUAAGCACCGGCUAACUUCGUG